CUACGGGGGGCUCCAGUGGGGAAUAUCGCACAAUGGAGGAAACUCUGAUGCAGCAACGCCGCGUGGAGGAUGACACUUUUCGGAGCGUAAACUCCUUUUAUAUAGGAAGAAGAUGACGGUACUAUAUGAAUAAGCGCCGGCUAACUCCGUGCCAGCAGCCGCGGUAAUACGGAGGGCGCAAGCGUUACUCGGAGUCACUGGGCGUAAAGAGCGUGUAGGCGGAUUAAAAAGUCAGAAGUGAAAUCCUAUAGCUUAACUAUAGAACUGCUUCUGAAACUCUUAAUCUAGAAUAUGGGAGAGGUAGGUGGAAUUUCUGGUGUAGGGGUAAAAUCCGUAGAGAUCAGAAGGAAUACCGAUUGCGAAGGCGAUCUACUAGAACAUUAUUGACGCUGAGACGCGAAAGCGUGGGGAGCAAACAGGAUUAGAUACCCCUGUAGUC
This 439-nucleotide ribosomal RNA is filed under the name uncultured bacterium. Its description in RNAcentral is "partial 16S ribosomal RNA". It matches the Rfam family "Bacterial small subunit ribosomal RNA", at positions 339 to 795 of the family's 1533-position model. The record is from RNAcentral.